Molecule: ribosomal RNA, 462 nt
Filed under: uncultured bacterium
Lineage: Bacteria
Description: bacterial SSU rRNA
Rfam family: Bacterial small subunit ribosomal RNA
Source: RNAcentral
GACGAACGCUGGCGGCGUGCCUAAUACAUGCAAGUCGAGCGAAUUUACGAGAGCUUGCUCUCGUAAAUUAGCGGCGGACGGGUGAGUAACACGUGGGCAACCUGCCUAUAAGACUGGGAUAACUUCGGGAAACCGGAGCUAAUACCGGAUAAUUCACAUCUACUCAUGUAGAUGUGCUGAAAGACGGUUUACGCUGUCACUUAUAGAUGGGCCCGCGGCGCAUUAGCUAGUUGGUGAGGUAACGGCUCACCAAGGCCACGAUGCGUAGCCGACCUGAGAGGGUGAUCGGCCACACUGGGACUGAGACACGGCCCAGACUCCUACGGGAGCAGCAGUAGGGAAUCUUCCGCAAUGGACGAAGUCUGACGAGCAACGCCGCGUGAGUGAUGAAGGUUUUCGAUCGUAAAACUCUGUUGUUAGGGAAGAACAAGUACCAGAGUAACUGCUGGUACCUUGACGGUA